RNAcentral lists this long non-coding RNA (526 nucleotides) under Fukomys damarensis (Damara mole-rat). RNAcentral describes it as "lncRNA (ENSFDAG00000025877.1)". Lineage: Eukaryota; Metazoa; Chordata; Mammalia; Rodentia; Bathyergidae. The record is from RNAcentral.
AUCUGAUUCAAGCAAUGUGCUUUACUAGCAGUAGCCAACUUAGGGAUACAAAGUCAAGGUGAGGGUCCAUCUCCAUUACUCAUUAACCAUGUGUUGUGCUGAGGACUCAGUGUUCUUACUUGCAUAAUGCAAUUACUAUUACUACCUCACAUGUAAAAGGGGGGAUUUCUAUAGUCUGCUAUCUUGCAAGUGAAAGGAGCCAUGGAUAGCUGGUCUCUGUUCACAGGAGUAACAAAGUGGACACCUCCAGAUGCGAGACAGAUCAAACAGAAAUGUGGCUAUUUGGAAAGAGCAAUCUUCUCCCACUGAUGAAGGUCUCAGAAAAAAAGAUCACAAAUGAAAAAUACAUGAGAAGUGUGCCAACAGCCACUACCCCCCAGACACAGUGGACUCAGAAUUCUUCUCCACAGCACAUUCCAGGCAGCCAGCAUCAUUCAAUUAGAUUCUGCACAAAUCGAAACCUACAUGCCUUUCUGAGCCUAAAGAUGCCCUUUUAAUCCAAGGAAUAUUUGACAAGAUCCUUCAC